UUUCCGUAGGUGAACCUGCGGAAGGAUCAUUGUAGAGUUCCUUUUCAAACGGAUAUGAAGUUGUACAAAUACCCAUCGAGAACUAAGCGUUUUUGCUGUCAGCACUUGCGUUGUUUAGAUGGGUUCCCUUUGCUGCCUUCAUCUUGCUUCAUUUGAAGUGAGAAGUAGAGUAGAAAUAAAAGACCGGCACGGUUUGUGCCAAGGAUAGUCGUUGUUGGCUCUC
This 223-nucleotide unclassified non-coding RNA is filed under the name root metagenome. RNAcentral's name for it is "partial contains small subunit ribosomal RNA and internal transcribed spacer 1". The record is from RNAcentral.